UAUGUUCUCACCUCAUGGAAGCCUUGCUUCUGUUCUACAUGGUACAAAGGAGCCCCUGAAGUGGAAAGUCAGGUUCAAAAUUGCACUUGGAAUUGCUGAAGGGCUGCUUUAUCUACAUGAAGGCUGCCAUCGCCGCAUAAUUCACAGGGACAUCAAGGCAUCUAAUAUCCUUCUAACUGAAGACUACCAACCUCAGAUAUCAGAUUUUGGGCUUGCAAAGUGGCUCCCUGACAAAUUGACCCAUUAUGUUGC
Zea mays is the source of this 252-nucleotide long non-coding RNA. RefSeq lists it as uncharacterized. Lineage: Eukaryota; Viridiplantae; Streptophyta; Magnoliopsida; Poales; Poaceae. The record is from RefSeq and is a predicted model, not a curated record. The transcript has 3 exons.